AUGCACCGGAGUCUAGCAUGACAGUGAGUCUUAUUUGUGUUGAUUCGGAUUUAAUAAUACAUCUUUCUUGUUUGAUUGAUAAGUUUAAUCUAAAGUGAAUAGUUGAGGAAGGUUUGUGAUUGGUUUGGCAUUUGGAGCAUUGGCUCGGACUAGAAAUUGUUAUUCGAGGAAUGAAUAAUUAAUAAAGGAAGUGUUGUGAUGAUUCCCUUGCGGGGAGUUACGCAUUUAUUGUAUCUUCCUUGCCGGGAUAUUUGUGAUGGUAGUUG
Molecule: long non-coding RNA, 266 nt
Filed under: Nicotiana benthamiana
Lineage: Eukaryota; Viridiplantae; Streptophyta; Magnoliopsida; Solanales; Solanaceae
Description: long non-coding RNA (NBEN_LNC033034)
Source: RNAcentral